This 492-nucleotide ribosomal RNA is filed under the name uncultured bacterium. RNAcentral describes it as "partial 16S ribosomal RNA". It matches the Rfam family "Bacterial small subunit ribosomal RNA", at positions 29 to 507 of the family's 1533-position model. The record is from RNAcentral.
AUUGAACGCUGGCGGCAUGCUUUACACAUGCAAGUCGAACGGUAACAGGCCUUCGGGUGCUGACGAGUGGCGCACGGGUGAGUAAUGCAUCGGAACGUACCCAGAGGUGGGGGAUAACGCAGCGAAAGCUGUGCUAAUACCGCAUGUGAUCUGAGGAUGAAAGCGGGGGACCGAGCAGCAAUGUUUGGCCUCGCGCCUUUGGAGCGGCCGAUGUCGGAUUAGCUAGUUGGUGGGGUAAAGGCCUACCAAGGCGACGAUCCGUAGCUGGUCUGAGAGGACGACCGGCCACACUGGAACUGAGACACGGCCCAGACUCCUACGGGAGGCAGCAGUGGGGAAUUUUGGACAAUGGGCGCAAGCCUGAUCCAGCAAUGCCGCGUGCGGGAAGAAGGCCUUCGGGUUGUAAACCGCUUUUGGCAGGAACGAAACGGUGUCCGCUAAUACCGGGCGCUAAUGACGGUACCUGCAGAAUAAGCACCGGCUAACUACGUG